This 253-nucleotide ribosomal RNA is filed under the name uncultured bacterium. Its description in RNAcentral is "partial 16S ribosomal RNA". It matches the Rfam family "Bacterial small subunit ribosomal RNA", at positions 524 to 776 of the family's 1533-position model. The record is from RNAcentral.
UACGAAGGGGGCUAGCGUUGCUCGGAAUCACUGGGCUUAAAGCGCACGUAGGCGGAUUGUUAAGUCAGGGGUGAAAUCCUGGAGCUCAACUCCAGAACUGCCUUUGAUACUGAAGAUCUUGAGUUCGGGAGAGGUGAGUGGAACUGCGAGUGUAGAGGUGAAAUUCGUAGAUAUUCGCAAGAACACCCGUGGCGAAGGCGGCUCUCUGGGACGGUAUUGACGCUGAGACGCGAAAGCGUGGGGAGCGAACAGG